Molecule: long non-coding RNA, 1886 nt
Filed under: Varroa destructor (honeybee mite)
Lineage: Eukaryota; Metazoa; Arthropoda; Arachnida; Mesostigmata; Varroidae
Description: uncharacterized LOC111254941
Source: RNAcentral
UUCUCAUAGUCCGUGAAGUAGUAGUAGUAGAAGUGGCUGUAGCGGUUGUUACCGUUUUGGGUAGUGUCCGUGUGAAUGUGUCACUGUCUCUCAGUAUUUCUCAUCUUCAUCUGUCAUCCUCAUCAUCAUCAUCAGUAUCAUCAUCACAGACAAGACUGGACCCUCCUCGUCGUUGUCACCACCAUUUUCGCCGUAGUACUUUGCCUCGAUCAUCAUCAGCAGCAGCUGCAGCGGUAAAAACAUCGAUGUUAUUCUAACGGGUCCUUCUGUGCUGCUUGUUGCCUAUUGGUGUUCUUCUCGCUAUCCGAAUCCAUCGUUUUAGUUCGUUUUCGAAGAAGGAACUGCUAGACCUUUGCGUUUUUUGCACGACGAAGACAACGGGACAGCGGCUACUGAUUGCUAAUGUUGACGCUGCCAUUUCUAUCGGUGCCAUCGUUGCGGGGGAGAUGAAGCGGGACGUGUCGCCCAAAGCGGUCAAUGGUAUGUUCGUAGUGCGUGUAGACAUCGUAAUAAAACAAUAGCAAGAAAUCGCCGCGGCCUCCAUAAUAGCCGACACGGGACAAAGUGCGACCGGUUAGAGGGGCAACUUCGAUGUCUUCUAGACGCCCAGCUUCAAACGGCUCUAGCCAAAACACGCUAAUACAACGAUCUUACUCAUACUGUGUACGGUAACGAGACACGAAGAAAUCGUGGAAGAAUGACGGUCGCCAAUAGAUAUCGCCCACAAUAUAUUACAUCCCGUAGCAUGCUAUAUCCAUUCUCUUUUGUGGUUCAUGCAGUCUUUCGUUUUGAUGAAAAGAAGAUCUGGGAGUCGAUGUCAAAUAAUGGAGGUUCUUCAAAAGAGCUGUCCCAGGCGGCGGUACUUAGCUGUCUCUCAAUAUUCAAGAUACAAACGUCUUAUGCGACAGCCACGGCAUACAGCCCUCAUAGCUAAGGUUUAAUUACCCCACUUUGUGCUGGUUUUUUUCCUGUUACCUUGAUCAGGGGGAUGUAAAAACUGACUGGAAAAUUCGGCAUCUACAAAUAGCUGCGUAGCAACACAUAUUUCUAUAUUAAGAUGCGUAUGUAUAUGGUAGGCUAAAGUACUUCUUAAGACUAACAUGUAAGCGCGAUUGGCUCGGAGUCGUUCCUUUCACGAUUUCAUGCCGUGUCAGCUUUGUAUAUAUCAUUCGAAGUGAUUUCAUCGUGAAAUUAAUUCUGUGCCUAAAUUGGCUUCAUUUUAUUAUUCUAAGUGAAUUUUUUCCCGGCGUUGAAAGUUAGAUGUCUAUUGCAAGCCCCUCUGUAUCGUUCUAUGUUAUUUUCUUGUCCGUCCUUCUGUGGUCCUAUCACGCGUGCAUUUCUGUUGGACUCGUAUUGUCGGACAAAUGUCUGGGAACGUUUCACCUCUUGCGGUUGCCAUCUCAGCUGAUCUUCUAUAAAAGAAACAAGCGAUAGGGACAAAUAGCCGACUGAAAGAGGACCGUUUCAGGGUAUCAUCCUUUUUAGACAACAUCCUAUCGGGAAACGGUGACUCUGAACAUCCUAUCGUGCGUAGACAUUUAUAGAACGCAGCUGAGCUCGGACGUUAACGAACUGACUAAAUCUAGAAUCAAUGUUCGUGUGGCGUAGGCUUCUGUUUUAUGACAUCAGCAUGUACUGAGCAUGAAGGCUUCACUGAGGACGACGCGUAAAUCGAAUCUAGAGUAGUGUUUAUGCUCGUAACUUGUCUUUAUACGAAGAAUAAAGACAAUAAACUGUUAUGAAGACAAUCGGUCAAUGGAUCGGAAAUACGUUUACAACGGGCAAUGGCCAAUAAAAUGUUACCCUAACUAGCUUGUGGCGGUGUAUCUACGCGCUACACUAUAUAGACAUUUAUAUAUAGCUAGCACGAGAAAAAGCAUUAAGAA